UGGGGAAUAUUGCACAAUGGGCGAAAGCCUGAUGCAGCGACGCCGCGUGAGGGAUGACGGCCUUCGGGUUGUAAACCUCUUUCAGCAGGGAAGAAGCGAAAGUGACGGUACCUGCAGAAGAAGCGCCGGCUAACUACGUGCCAGCAGCCGCGGUAAUACGUAGGGCGCAAGCGUUGUCCGGAAUUAUUGGGCGUAAAGAGCUCGUAGGCGGUUAGUCGCGUCUGCUGUGAAAACUCGAGGCUCAACCUCGGGCUUGCAGUGGGUACGGGCUGACUAGAGUGCGGUAGGGGAUGACUGCAUCGUGGUGUAGCGGUGGAAUGCGCAGAUAUCAGGAGGAACACCGAUGGCGAAGGCAGGUCACUGGGCCGCAACUGACGCUGAGGAGCGAAAGCAUGGGGAGCGAACAGGAUUAGAUACCCUGGUAGUCCAUGCCGUAAACGUUGGGCACUAGGUGUGGGGUCCAUUCCACGGAUUCCGUGCCGCAGCAAACGCAUUAAGUGCCCCGCCUGGGGAGUACGGCCGCAAGGCUAAAACUUAAAUGAAUUGAC
This 548-nucleotide ribosomal RNA is filed under the name uncultured bacterium. RNAcentral's name for it is "partial 16S ribosomal RNA". It matches the Rfam family "Bacterial small subunit ribosomal RNA", at positions 355 to 914 of the family's 1533-position model. The record is from RNAcentral.